RNAcentral lists this long non-coding RNA (5032 nucleotides) under Homo sapiens (human). Its description in RNAcentral is "HSALNT0282777". Lineage: Eukaryota; Metazoa; Chordata; Mammalia; Primates; Hominidae. The record is from RNAcentral.
CUUAAACACAUAUGGCUUUAUUUAUUUUUUUAAGUUAACAGGAACUGUGGCAUGGGUUCAGCUGCUCAAUGAUGCCAUCAAGAAAUUGGGCUCUUUCUGACUUUCUUCCUUCACAUGUUGUCUUCUUCCUCGUGCUCAUCCCCACAUGGUCACAAGAUGGCUGUCACAGCUCCAGACGGCUUGACUAUAUUCAAAGCAGAAAGAAAGAAGGGGACAACAUCAGCUAUUUGUGCCUCUGCUCAGAAAAGCAAAUACUUUUUCAGAAGGCCCGCAGCAAACAUCUCACUGGCCAAAGCCAGGUCACGUAGUCAUCCUUAGCUGCAAGGGAGGCUAAGAAAGUAUCUGGUUCUUCAGCCUCUGAGUGGGAGGUGGCAAGGAACAAGGGAUUUGGAAGUAGUUGCCUCUAGGGAGCAGGACUUGCAGUGGGAAGGAGUAGGACAGGAUAUUGUUGGAUUUUAUUAGGCAUCUCUUAGCACUGUUUUAUUUUUUUAAGUAUGUAUAUAUAUUCCUUUGAUAAAAAAUAAAAAUUAGGCCAUGUGUGGUCGCUCACACCUCCUAGAAAAGAGAUUUAUUAUGAAGUUAUCAGGUAGCUCACGGAAGUCUAGAGAAUCAGGCUGAGAACAUGGAGUGGGAGCGAGGAAGGCAGGCAUCAGGAACCACAGCUAAGGGUCCACCAUAAAAACAGCCUGGUUAGAAUGCUGCUGUUGGCACUGCUCCCUGCACUGCUCCUACCAGUGGACCUUAUCCUACUGGCACAUGCCACUGCAAGGGAGCUCCAACCAUCCUCACAUCUGUUGUUUUGGUUUAUUUGUUGUGGACUUCAGAGUUUAGUUAAUCAUAAUCUGCAAUUUAUGGCACAUUAUGACCAGUUCACUGAAGGCUGCUCUUUUACUUUAGUUCUUCUUUUACUUUAUCUUCUUCUUCUUCCCCAUCAGUCCCUAUCCUUACUCCCAUUCUCCUGCCUAACUCAGUGAGCCUCUCCAGUGUAAUUAACGUAUGUAUACUUUCAAUCCGUCUUCCAUAUGUUUAUUUAUAUGCAUAUCCAUGAAAAUACAUAGUGUUGUUUUACAUUUCUGUAAAUGGAAUUGUACUAUAAAUACUAUUCUGUUUCUUACUUUUUUCUCUCAAUGCUGGGGAUUUUAGAGACCUAUCCAUGUGGCUAUAUGUAAAUCUAGUUUAUUACUUUUGUUUUGUAGUUUUCCAUCGUAUGAAUAUACAGUUUGUUUAUCCUGUCCUAUAGUGAUGAACACCUGAUUGCUUCUGAUUCCUCACUACCACAAACAGUGCUGCAAUGAACAACCUCAACUAUAUUUUCUUAGGACCUGUAUGAGAAUUUCUCUGGAAUAUAUGCCCAGAAGCGGGAUUACUGGGUUGUAGGGUAUUCACAUACUUAAUUUCAUGGGUGCUGCCAAACUCUCUCUGGAAUACCUGUACCAGUUUACAUUCCAACUCAUGGUUGUCCUUUUCCUCACAUCCUGAUUCAUCAGCACUUGAUAAUAUCUGACUUUCUACAUGUUACCAUUCCUGUAGUGACUUCUCAUUAUUAUUUUAAUUUCAUUUCUCUAAUUAUUGGCAGAGUUGAAAAAGCUCUUAAUAUAUUCAAGUUUCCCCUUGUGUAAACUCAAGUUUCCCCUUCUAUAAAUUACUCUUCAUAUCCUAUGCCCAUUUUCCUAUUGGGUUUACUAUCUUCCUUAUAUAUUCUCCUAAUCUAUCAUCCUUUUGUUAAUUUUGUAUAUUCCUGCCUUCUUUUUGUUGCUGGUUCCAGAUUCAAGGCCAUGAACAGAGUAUUCAGCCCUUGUUGCCUGGCGGGCUGGGAAAGAAAAUAUCUGACCACCAUCAGUUUCCAUAGUGGGAAAUAGGGCCAUGCCUCCCAAUUUGGCAGGGAUUCCCCCAAAAAACAGCAUGGGAAAUUAGAUGCUAGAGAACAGUAGAGUUCGCUCCUUUGGUCAUCCAACAUCCACAUAUAGCCUUCCUCCCGUAUUUAUGCUUUUAAAAAAAGCUUCCACCUAAUACGGUGCAAAUAUACCUCAUAUAACCAAACAUGCACCCAUCCCCUUUCCAGAGUGAGAAAACCAAAAACAUAAAUUAGAAUGCUUUCAGGGACAAGCAAUACAAAAUCCAACUCAAACUGUCUUGAAUAGUAAAUGCAAUUCAUUGGCUCACUUAACUGAAGAGUCCACAGGCAGGGAGAUUUCAGGCAUGGCAUGAUCCGGAAUAUGGUUCCAUUUCUGUGAUUCUCUUGGCUCUGCCUCCUCCAUUUUUCAGCUCCAUCCUCAGGUAGGCCUUCCACAUGUUCACAAGAUGGCUAACAGCAGCAACCAGGCUACAUGCUUCUUUGUUCUUAUCCAAGGGAAGAUAGGUCAUCUCCUCCCUCAAAAGCUGAAUAAAAGUCCUAAGCCUCAUUGUGAUUGGGUCAUCCCUGAACCAGUCAUCACUGUGGCUAGGAGGGUGAAAUUACUCAGAUCAGUUUAUACCAAUAAAGGCCUACACCUAGAGCUGGUGGUGGGGUCAAUCCCACUCACAUUGCAUAGUUGUUAUACAGCGGGAGAGGAGUGGAAUGGAUGCUGCAGAACAACUACAAUGUCCACUACAAGGGAGUAAACUAAGAAAGAGGAAGAUAUGGGGUCCAAGAAAGAUUGGGUCCAACCCAGAAUAAUGAAGGGACGUCCCAGGAUGACAGCUGCACCGCAGGCCUACAGAGCAAUCCGUCCAAAUUGGAACAGGAAGACGGAGGACUCCAGGAAGAAGGUAUCUGGGGAAAAAGGGGAUUCAAAUGAUUUUAUACUUUCCUUGAGACUUUGGAAUAACUUAAGAAGGUGAUAAAGUCAGACAAUGCAAGGAAAAAAAGAAAGACAAUUAGAAACUCUAAGGAAAAAAAGGUGUAUAAGAAAAGCAAUGUAAUCCUAAUAUACUAAUUGGAUCUUUCUGGAACAAUAUUUACAUAAUCAUAAUAAUGUAAACACUUUAUUGCCCUUAAACUUUUAGAAUGACCUACUGGCAAAGUAUGGAUGACUUAAUUAUGGUUAUAGAACAAAGUGUAAAUAUUAACCUUGUUAAUAUAAAAGUGCAGUUGACAAGUUAAAAGAGAGAAAAGGGAGAGUAAGUCUAUUAGUUAAAGGUAGAAAGAUAAGGAAUAGAGGAUAUAUAAUUAGUGACAUGGCUAUAUUGGAGGCAUGGGAAAGGCAUUCGGGUGGUAUAAAUAGCAGGAAGUUAAUAGAGAAUGACUAAAAUUGAUCAAUAAAAGUUGAUAAAUAGAAAAAUCUGUAUAUUGGCUGAGCGUGGUAGCUCACGCCUGUAAUCCCAGCACUUUGGGAGGGCAAGGCGGGCAGAUCACCAGAGGUCAGGAGUUCAAGACCAGCCUGGCCAACAUGGCAAAACCCCACCUCUACUAAAAAUACAAAAAUUAGCUGGGCGUGGUGGCGCAUGCCUGUAAUCCCAGCUACUCGGGAGGCUGAGGCAGGAGAAUCGCUUGAACCCAGGAGGCAGAAGUUGUAGUGAGCCAAGAUCGCACCACUGCACUCCAGCCUGGGCGACAGAGCAAGACUCCGUUUCAAAAAAAAAAAAAAAGAAAGAAAAAGAAAAAUCUGUAUAUUAUUUAGAGAUAUGAAGAUAAUUACUGGAAAAAAAAAAACCCAAACAGUUAAAAGUAGACUAGUAGAUUUCCAGGUCAAGAUGAUAAACUUACCAUGUGUUUUUCUCCACUUCCUCCUGAGACCCUGCUAAAAUCAUUGUAAAGGGAUUAAAAAGGGUAUAAAUCCACAAUGAUGAAGAGAGUGGGAACAGGUCCAUCAGCAAAAGAGAGAUUUCAACAAAUUUCUGGAAGAUAGAAGUCAAUGGAGGAAUGGUGACUGAUGGAGCAUGGUGGAGGAAGCCACAGCCUGGAGUAUGCAUGGAGGUGAUGCUUCAGAGGAAGAAGUUGCUCUUUCUCUGCAGAAGCCUGGAGUGUCUUGGUCUUGACAAUGCCAGGUAUGAUAAAGGAUGGGAGUCAAAUGUGGGGCUGAAAAUUGGGAGUUUAAUGGGAAGGCUGCAUAUCAAACCAUGAAUCCCCCUCCCCCUCCCUUGUGCACAAUUCACAGCAGCCAGGUGUCUACCCAUUAGGCAAAAACCAGAGGGUUCUUCGCUAAGGCUAUUGAACAACCUCAAAGAAAAGACGUUAGCAUUCUGGCAUUCAGGGACUCUGCAGCAUAGCAAGUUAGCUCUCUAGUCAUCCUAAAGGAAGGCCACCAGUUGCCUAGCCCUGCCCCCAUAUACAGAGCUUCUGAUCAGAUUUUUAUUGCUACAUUCUUAAAUAUCAGCAAACAACUAUGGAUCACUAAGCAUUUGAGAAAAGACUGCAACUUGAAAGAGACCAAAAUAAGUAAACAAGGGAAAAAAUAAUCCAAAUGAAAUAGAUAUUUCAAAGAACAGAAAGAAAUAUAAAAAUAUCUCUAUUAUUUUCAGAUUCAAGGUGAUAGUACAUCCAUAAAACAAGAACAGAAUGCAAUAAGAAAGGAAAAGAGAACAAGAGUGAAUACUAAGAAAUUUAAAAUCUGAUUGCCACAUGAAAAGACAUGCAAUAGAAGGGUUGAAAGAUAAAGUUAAGUCUUCUCUCAGAAAGUAAACAAAAACAAAAGGAAGAGAGGGACAAAGCUAGGGAGGGAGGGAGGGAAAGAGGAAGGGAGCGAGAGAUGGAAAAUAGGAGAGUGGAUAAAAAAUUACAAAAGAUAAAUUCAGGAGAUCUAACAUCUAACAUUAAGGAUUUCCAGAAAGAGAGAAUAAAGGAAAUGGAAUAAAGGAAUAGAUCAAAGACAUAAUAUGUGAGAAUUUCCCAGAGUUAAAAGACUUCAAAAUGAAGGGAUGUAACAAAUGACCAGCACAAUGAAUGACAAAAGAUCUGAAACCUAAACACAUAAUUUUUAAGUUUCAGAAUACCAAGAAUACAAUUCUUAAAAAAUAACAGGAGGCCAGGCACAGUGGCUCAAGCCUGUAAUCCCAGCACUUUGGGGGGCUGAGGCGGGCAGAUCACCUCAGUUCAGGAGUUCGAGACCAGCCU